This 368-nucleotide ribosomal RNA is filed under the name uncultured bacterium. RNAcentral's name for it is "bacterial SSU rRNA". It matches the Rfam family "Bacterial small subunit ribosomal RNA", at positions 201 to 546 of the family's 1533-position model. The record is from RNAcentral.
UCAAAGCCGGGGACCCUUCGGGGCCUGGCGCCUGAGGAGAAGCCCGCGCCCGAUUAGCUAGUUGGUGAGGUAACGGCUCACCAAGGCAACGAUCGGUAGCCGGCCUGAGAGGGCGGACGGCCACACUGGGACUGAGACACGGCCCAGACUCCUACGGGAGGCAGCAGUGGGGAAUUUUUGUCAAUGGGGGAAACCCUGAACAACCAACGCCACGUGGAGGACGAAAACCUUCGGGUUGUAAACUCCUGUCGGAGGGGACGAAAGCGGUCGAGGCUAAUAUCCUCGGCCGUUGACGGUACCCUACGAGGAAGCCCCGGCUAACUCCGUGCCAGCAGCCGCGGUAAUACGGGGGGGGCAAGCGUUGUUCU